GCGGAUUUUGAAAUUCUUAGUGGCGGACGGGUGAGUAACGCGUGGGCAACCUGCCCUGUACAGGGGGACAACAGCUGGAAACGGCUGCUAAUACCGCAUAAGCGCACAGCAUCGCAUGAUGCCGUGUGAAAAACUCCGGUGGUACAGGAUGGGCCCGCGUUGGAUUAGGCAGUUGGUGAGGUAACGGCCCACCAAGCCGACGAUCCAUAGCCGACCUGAGAGGGUGACCGGCCACAUUGGGACUGAGACACGGCCCAAACUCCUACGGGAGGCAGCAGUGGGGAAUAUUGCACAAUGGGGGAAACCCUGAUGCAGCGACGCCGCGUGAGCGAAGAAGUAUUUCGGUAUGUAAAGCUCUAUCAGCAGGGAAGAAAAUGACGGUACCUGACUAAGAAGCCCCGGCUAACUACGUGCCAGCAGCCGCGGUGAUACGUAGGGGGCAAGCGUUAUCCGGAUUUACUGGGUGUAAAGGGAGCGUAGACGGCUUUGCAAGUCUGAUGUGAAA
Molecule: ribosomal RNA, 505 nt
Filed under: uncultured bacterium
Lineage: Bacteria
Description: bacterial SSU rRNA
Rfam family: Bacterial small subunit ribosomal RNA
Source: RNAcentral